AUGCGAUAAGUAAUGUGAAUUGCAGAAUUCAGUGAAUCAUCGAAUCUUUGAACGCACCUUGCGCUCCUUGGUAUUCCGAGGAGCAUGCCUGUUUGAGUGUCAUGAUAAUCUCAAGUUAACAUUUUAGUUUAUCUGAAGUGUUGAUUUGGACUUGGAGGUUGUGCUGAUCUUUGUAUUGGCUCCUCUUAAAUGCAUUAGCUGGAUUACUAUCAGUAAUAGUCCAUGGUGUUGUAAUCUCGGCGCUGUGACUUAACUGAAUGACGAUCUGCUUCUAGUAUAAUUGCUUCUGGCAAUAUUUGUACACUUGACCUCAAAUCAGGUAGGACUACCCGCUGAACUUAAGCAUAU
This 348-nucleotide ribosomal RNA is filed under the name uncultured fungus. RNAcentral's name for it is "eukaryotic LSU rRNA". The stretch from base 1 to 102 matches the Rfam family "5.8S ribosomal RNA", at positions 53 to 154 of the family's 154-position model. Lineage: Eukaryota; Fungi. The record is from RNAcentral.